CGCCAAGGAAAAUAUUGUACACAAAACAACCGGAUUAAAUUGAUCCUACUUAUUCUCCUUAAAACCAAGCUGAUAAUUCAACACCAAAAUUGCACCUUACAAGUUAAUUUGAAGAAAAUUCUUGCUUAUAACAAGUCUUUAUUAUCACAUAUGGACCAAACCAAUGAUCUUGUUGGAUUUUGAAUUUUACUUCCCACUUUUGUUUUAUUCUAAUACAGCCUUUUGAAUUUGAUUCAAAAUGCUGCAAUAUCAUUGGCUCAAUUUAUUACUCUCUGUAGGCACGAAAAUCCUAAUUUGAUUAGCAUUUGCAUAAUGAUCUGUGAAUGACCUCUAAUAUUUUAUUUUAUCUUAACAUCCAGUUCAAACGAAG
Molecule: unclassified non-coding RNA, 370 nt
Filed under: Hevea brasiliensis (rubber tree)
Lineage: Eukaryota; Viridiplantae; Streptophyta; Magnoliopsida; Malpighiales; Euphorbiaceae
Source: RNAcentral